AGAGUUUGAUCCUGGCUCAGGAUGAACGCUAGCUACAGGCUUAACACAUGCAAGUCGAGGGGAAACGAUAUUGGGAGCUUGCCUCCGAUAGGCGUCGACCGGCGCACGGGUGAGUAACGCGUAUCCAACCUGCCCACCACUUGGGGAUAACCUUGCGAAAGUAAGACUAAUACCCAAUGAUAUCUCUAGAAGACAUCUGAAAGAGAUUAAAGAUUUAUCGGUGAUGGAUGGGGAUGCGUCUGAUUAGCUUGUUGGCGGGGUAACGGCCCACCAAGGCAACGAUCAGUAGGGGUUCUGAGAGGAAGGUCCCCCACAUUGGAACUGAGACACGGUCCAAACUCCUACGGGACGCAGCA
RNAcentral lists this ribosomal RNA (356 nucleotides) under uncultured bacterium. RNAcentral describes it as "bacterial SSU rRNA". It matches the Rfam family "Bacterial small subunit ribosomal RNA", at positions 8 to 353 of the family's 1533-position model. The record is from RNAcentral.